RNAcentral lists this ribosomal RNA (491 nucleotides) under uncultured Sphingobacteriales bacterium. RNAcentral describes it as "bacterial SSU rRNA". It matches the Rfam family "Bacterial small subunit ribosomal RNA", at positions 888 to 1382 of the family's 1533-position model. Lineage: Bacteria; Pseudomonadati; Bacteroidota; Sphingobacteriia; Sphingobacteriales. The record is from RNAcentral.
CCCGCUCAGAAACUCAAAGGAAUUGACGGGGCCCGCACAAGCGGUGGAGCAUGUGGUUUAAUUCGAUGAUACGCGAGGAACCUUACCUGGGCUCAAAUGUAUGUUGACGUAUUCUGAAAGGGAUACUUCUUCGGGCAAUAUACAAGGUGCUGCAUGGUUGUCGUCAGCUCGUGCCGUGAGGUGUCGGGUUAAGUCCCAUAACGAGCGCAACCCCUAUCAUUAGUUGCCAUCAGGUCAAGCUGGGGACUCUAAUGAAACUGCCUACGCAAGUAGUGAGGAAGGUGGGGAUGACGUCAAAUCAGCACGGCCCUUACGUCCAGGGCCACACACGUGCUACAAUGGCCGGUACAAAGGGCAGCUACCUGGUGACAGGAUGCUAAUCUCAAAAGCCGGUCUCAGUUCGGAUCGGAGUCUGCAACCCGACUCCGUGAAGCUGGAAUCGCUGGUAAUCGCGCAUCAGCCAUGGCGCGGUGAAUACGUUCCCGGGCCUU